UACGGAGGGUGCAAGCAUUGAUCGGAGUUACUGGGCGUAAAGGGCGCGUAGGCGGCAAUGAAAGUCAGAUGUGAAAUUCCGGGGCUCAACCCCGGAGCUGCAUUUGAAACUUCAUAGCUAGAGUUCAGUUAGGGUAAACGGAAUUCCACGUGUAGCGGUGAAAUGCGUAGAUAUGUGGAAGAACACCGGUGGUGAAGACGGUUUACUGGGCUGAUACUGACGCUGAGGCGCGAAAGCAUGGGGAGCAAACAGG
RNAcentral lists this ribosomal RNA (253 nucleotides) under uncultured prokaryote. RNAcentral's name for it is "partial 16S ribosomal RNA". It matches the Rfam family "Bacterial small subunit ribosomal RNA", at positions 524 to 776 of the family's 1533-position model. The record is from RNAcentral.